Long non-coding RNA from Diceros bicornis minor, 948 nucleotides. RefSeq lists it as uncharacterized. The transcript is spliced from 3 exons. NCBI's taxonomy places the organism in Eukaryota, Metazoa, Chordata, Mammalia, Perissodactyla, Rhinocerotidae. The record is from RefSeq and is a predicted model, not a curated record.
CGCGUGGCGUCCGAGCGCCCCCUCACCGCUCCGGGUGCCCACCUCCUGAGGCGCUCUCUCCUGAGGCCCGGCUGCGCCUGGUUGGUCGUAGCAUCCGCCGCGGCCAGGCUGCGAGCGACACCGGGGAAAUGUGGAGCUAAUGGACGUUUCUAGGGCCACUCACAAUUCUGCCUAAAUUGUAAAAGGUUCCUCCUGAGACGCACCGUGUCAGCCUCUUUCCGAAAGCACGAGAACUUAACGCCGGCAGAAAUCCUUUAAAUGUACUGAUUUCCUGCAUUCUUAAAGAAUACAGUGGUUAAUGAAAUCCUUUGUUGACGACUGACCAUCAAAUGGAUACCUUGGCGGUACGCUCAAGUCCCAGGGGCUUGCUGAGGGAAUAUUGUCCCUGAGCUAACAUCUGUGCCAAUCUUCCUCUAUUUUGUAUGUGGGACACUGCCACAGCAUGGCCUGAUGAGCGGUGUGUAUGCCCACGCCUGGCAUCCGAACCUGUGAACCCUGGGCUGCCAAAACGGAGUGCACAAACUUAACCACUACGCCACUGGGCCAGCCCCACCUAAUGCAUUUUUAUCAAACUGGGUUUUUAUGUCUCUUCAAGUUCAUGGGAAUCCCAACUGUCCUCCAGGGUGAAGAUGUGCAGAAAACAAAACAAAACAAAAUACCUCAACAUAGGUAGUCUUAAAAUCGUGCUUGGGGAACUACUUCUUCCUUUACUUGGAUGUUUUCUUUUAGCAGCUUCAAUAACACGUUAAAAAUUUCUCCAUUAAGUUCUUACAGAUUUGUAAAGUUCUUAGAUUUAUUCCUAAGUUUCUUUUUCUUUGGUAUUGUAGCUUGUCUCUAUUUUUAAAUUAUGUUUUCUAGUUUGCUAGGAAUUUUUUUUAAUGAAUGGGUCAUGGAUUUUAUCAAAUGCCUUUACUGAAUCUGUUAAAAUGAUCACAUAUGUGCUCUUCU